GACAGAGGGUGCGAACGUUGUUCGGAAUUACUGGGCGUAAAGCGCGUGUAGGCGGCCGCGCAAGUCGGGCGUGAAAUCCCACGGCUCAACCGUGGAAGUGCACUCGAAACUGCGCAGCUAGAGUCCUGGAGAGGAAGGUGGAAUGCUUGGUGUAGAGGUGAAAUUCGUAGAUAUCAAGCGGAACACCGGUGGCGAAGGCGACCUUCUGGACAGUGACUGACGCUGAGACGCGAAAGCGUGGGGAGCAAACAGG
This 253-nucleotide ribosomal RNA is filed under the name uncultured bacterium. RNAcentral describes it as "partial 16S ribosomal RNA". It matches the Rfam family "Bacterial small subunit ribosomal RNA", at positions 524 to 776 of the family's 1533-position model. The record is from RNAcentral.